RNAcentral lists this ribosomal RNA (374 nucleotides) under uncultured eukaryote. Its description in RNAcentral is "partial 18S ribosomal RNA". It matches the Rfam family "Eukaryotic small subunit ribosomal RNA", at positions 592 to 976 of the family's 1831-position model. The record is from RNAcentral.
CAAGAGCGUAUGUAAAAGUUGUUGCAGUUAAAAAGCUCGUAGUUGAACCUUGGGUUUGGUUGGCCGGUCCGCUUUUUUGCGAGUACUGGAUUCAACCGAGCCUUACCUUCUGGCUAACCAGUCGUUUCGGCGGCUGGCGAACCAGGAUUUUUACUUUGAGAAAAUUAGAGUGUUCAAAGCAGGCAUUAGCUUGAAUAUAUUAGCAUGGAAUAAUAGAAUAGGACGUUAUGGAUCUAUUUUGUUGGUUUCUAGGACCAUCGUAAUGAUUAAUAGGGACGGUCGGGGGCAUCAGUAUUCAGUUGUCAGAGGUGAAAUUCUUGGAUUUACUGAAGACUAACUACUGCGAAAGCAUUUGCCAAGGACGUUUUCAUUAA